Acanthochromis polyacanthus (spiny chromis) is the source of this 1205-nucleotide long non-coding RNA. RefSeq lists it as uncharacterized. The record is from RefSeq and is a predicted model, not a curated record. Lineage: Eukaryota; Metazoa; Chordata; Actinopteri; Pomacentridae. The transcript is spliced from 2 exons.
CAAACAACGAAAAAGGCGCAGCGGUGCCGAGUGUGUGAAGAGACAACCGCACAAACUCCAGACACCACAUUGGUCAAAGAGAAGCGAAGACACUGCAGGAGUGCCAUGUUACAAGAGAAUUCCUGAGGCGAGCCAAUGGCCCGAUAAAUCUGCCGGAGCCUCUCUCUCAAUUUGUCUCCGUGGAAUGUCAGCUGGCAAGUGCCCAGACACUGAGAACCUCUUUUCACAAUGCGCCAAUCUAACAGACGAGAUCCCAUGUUGGAGCUACAGUACAAGGACUGGCAUGGAUAAAUUGCCACGUGCCUUAUCUAUGUCUCUUUAUGUCUAACUGUCUGAGGUCUUGCUCCUUCCAUCCAUGGCCUCCAAAGGCCACUUCCUCGCAGGCCUGACAGUGAACCUAAAUGGCUGAGUGGGUGACGUUGACAAAAUGCAGGUGUCACAAAAGAGGAACCUGUGAUAUGACACAGAUGCUGUGUCAACCCGGCUUACUCCAUAUGACCCGCAGUGUGAACAGAAAUUGUUCUGUUUGGUGUCGUUCAUCACUGUGUGGCGCAGUCUCCCACAUAGCUCGGUCCAGGUGGCGGAAUGGCAGAGUGGGAGAACAGACCAUGUUUGUGUGAAGAUGCAACAACUAUCUCUCUCUUUUUCUUUCUCUCUCAUUCCCUGCCUUCCUCCCUCCCCUCCGUCCCUUCCUCCCCCCCCCUUCCCCUCUCCCUCUCCCUCUCCCUGUUCAAGCAGACUGCUGUAGCACUCUUUGUACUCUAUUUAAAGGUUGUAGGUUAGCAAACAACAAGAUGCCUUCCCACCUGUACCCCUAAGUGAGUCAUGAAUGAAUUCAUCCGCUUAUUUAUGUACAGUAUUUGCAGUAAAAAAUAAUACAUGCAUACAUGCAGAUAGACUGGAAUAAAGGCUUGUUGCUUAUUAAUAAUUUAAAUAAAGUUUUUAGAGCUGGUUGGGUUAUUGCUGAAAUUAGAUUCAAUGAAAAUGUCUGAGUGACUUACAGAAUGGUAGCAUAUUUUAUGGCACAUAAAAAAUGUGGUUAUGUCUGAAAAAACUGUAUAAUUGCCCCUUUCAGGUAUUCUGGAAAAUAUCCUUCGGUUACAUUAGAUGACCGUGUAUAUGUGUUAAAAUAAAUUGUAGCGAUCGGAGUAAAUUAAAAGAUCUUUUUUUUUGUUUAACGAAAUAAAAAUCCCAAAUGAAUGCCA